UGGGGAAUUUUGCGCAAUGGGCUAACGCCUGACGCAGCAACGCCGCGUGGAGGAUGAAGGUCCUUGGAUUGUAAACUCCUGUCAGCAGGGAAAAAGCAACUCAACCUCAUACGUUGAGAAGUUGAUUGUACCUGCAGAGGAAGCCCCGGCUAACUCUGUGCCAGCAGCCGCGGUAAUACAGAGGGGGCAAGCGUUAUUCGGAAUUAUUGGGCGUAAAGGGCGCGUAGGCGGCCUGACAAGUGGAUGGUGAAAUCCCUCGGCUUAACCGAGGAACUGCCAUCCAGACUGUUUGGCUUGAGACCGGGAGAGGUGAGUGGAAUUCCCAGUGUAGCGGUGAAAUGCGUAGAUAUUGGGAGGAACACCAGUGGCGAAGGCGGCUCACUGGACCGGUACUGACGCUGAUGCGCGAAAGCGUGGGGAGCAAAC
RNAcentral lists this ribosomal RNA (426 nucleotides) under uncultured bacterium. RNAcentral describes it as "bacterial SSU rRNA". It matches the Rfam family "Bacterial small subunit ribosomal RNA", at positions 355 to 773 of the family's 1533-position model. The record is from RNAcentral.